Molecule: ribosomal RNA, 581 nt
Filed under: uncultured bacterium
Lineage: Bacteria
Description: bacterial SSU rRNA
Rfam family: Bacterial small subunit ribosomal RNA
Source: RNAcentral
CCAGACUCCUACGGGAGGCAGCAGUGGGGAAUAUUGGACAAUGGACCGAGAGUCUGAUCCAGCAAUUCUGUGUGCACGAUGAAGUUUUUCGGAAUGUAAAGUGCUUUCAGUUGGGAAGAAAGAAAUGACGGUACCAACAGAAGAAGUGACGGCUAAAUACGUGCCAGCAGCCGCGGUAAUACGUAUGUCACGAGCGUUAUCCGGAUUUAUUGGGCGUAAAGCGCGUCUAGGUGGUUAUGUAAGUCUGAUGUGAAAAUGCAGGGCUCAACUCUGUAUUGCGUUGGAAACUGAAUAACUAGAGUACUGGAGAGGUAAGCGGAACUACAAGUGUAGAGGUGAAAUUCGUAGAUAUUUGUAGGAAUGCCGAUGGGGAAGCCAGCUUACUGGACAGAUACUGACGCUAAAGCGCGAAAGCGUGGGUAGCAAACAGGAUUAGAUACCCUGGUAGUCCACGCUGUAAACGAUGAUUACUAGGUGUUGGGGGUCGAACCUCAGCGCCCAAGCAAACGCGAUAAGUAAUCCGCCUGGGGAGUACGUACGCAAGUAUGAAACUCAAAGGAAUUGACGGGGGCCCGCACAAG